GCUUACGGCCAUACCAGCCUGGGUACGCCUGAUCCCGUCUGAUCUCGGAAGCUAAGCAGGGUCGGGCCUGGUUAGUACUUGGAUGGGAGACCGCCUGGGAAUACCAGGUGCUGUAAGCA
This 119-nucleotide ribosomal RNA is filed under the name Salmo salar (Atlantic salmon). The record is from RNAcentral. Lineage: Eukaryota; Metazoa; Chordata; Actinopteri; Salmoniformes; Salmonidae.